AUUGAACGCUGGCGGCAGGCCUAACACAUGCAAGUCGAAUGGUAACAGGAAACAGCUUGCUGUUUCGCUGACGAGUGGCGGACGGGUGAGUAAUGUCUGGGAAACUGCCUGAUGGAGGGGGAUAACUACUGGAAACGGUAGCUAAUACCGCAUAACGUCGCAAGACCAAAGAGGGGGACCUUCGGGCCUCUUGCCAUCAGAUUUGCCCAGAUGGGAUUAGCUAGUAGGUGGGGUAACGGCUCACCUAGGCGACGAUCCCUAGCUGGUCUGAGAGGAUGACCAGCCACACUGGAACUGAGACACGGUCCAGACUCCUACGGGAGGCAGCAGUGGGGAAUAUUGCACAAUGGGCGCAAGCCUGAUGCAGCCAUGCCGCGUGUAUGAAGAAGGCCUUCGGGUUGUAAAGUACUUUCAGCGGGGAGGAAGGGAGUAAAGUUAAUACCUUUGCUCAUUGACGUUACCCGCAGAAGAAGCACCGGCUAACUCCGUG
Molecule: ribosomal RNA, 490 nt
Filed under: uncultured bacterium
Lineage: Bacteria
Description: partial 16S ribosomal RNA
Rfam family: Bacterial small subunit ribosomal RNA
Source: RNAcentral